RNAcentral lists this ribosomal RNA (501 nucleotides) under uncultured bacterium. RNAcentral describes it as "partial 16S ribosomal RNA". It matches the Rfam family "Bacterial small subunit ribosomal RNA", at positions 29 to 523 of the family's 1533-position model. The record is from RNAcentral.
AUUGAACGCUGGCGGCAUGCCUUACACAUGCAAGUCGAACGGCAGCACAGGUGCUUGCACCUGGUGGCGAGUGGCGAACGGGUGAGUAAUACAUCGGAACGUACCUUAUCGUGGGGGAUAACGCAGCGAAAGCUGUGCUAAUACCGCAUACGCCCUGAGGGGGAAAGCGGGGGAUCGAAAGACCUCGCGCGAUUAGAGAGGCCGAUGCCUGAUUAGCUUGUUGGUGGGGUAAAAGCCCACCAAGGCGACGAUCAGUAGCUGGUCUGAGAGGACGAUCAGCCACACUGGGACUGAGACACGGCCCAGACUCCUACGGGAGGCAGCAGUGGGGAAUUUUGGACAAUGGGGGCAACCCUGAUCCAGCAAUGCCGCGUGAGUGAAGAAGGCCUUCGGGUUGUAAAGCUCUUUUGUCAGGGAAGAAACACCGGCUCUAACACAGUCCGGGAAUGACGGUACCUGAAGAAUAAGCACCGGCUAACUACGUGCCAGCCGCCGCGGUAA